AGAACGAACGCUGGCGGCAGGCCUAACACAUGCAAGUCGAGCGGAUCCUUCGGGAUUAGCGGCGGACGGGUGAGUAACGCGUGGGAACAUACCCUUUGGUACGGAAUAGCCUCGGGAAACUGAGAGUAAUACCGUAUGUGCCCUUCGGGGGAAAGAUUUAUCGCCAAAGGAUUGGCCCGCGUUGGAUUAGGUAGUUGGUGGGGUAAUGGCCUACCAAGCCGACGAUCCAUAGCUGGUUUGAGAGGAUGAUCAGCCACACUGGGACUGAGACACGGCCCAGACUCCUACGGGAGGCAGCAGUGGGGAAUCUUAGACAAUGGGGGAAACCCUGAUCUAGCCAUGCCGCGUGAUCGAUGAAGGCCUUAGGGUGUAAAGAUCUUCAGUGGGAAGAUAAUGACGGUACCACGAGAAGAAGCCCCGGACUAACUCCGUGCCAGCAGCCGC
Molecule: ribosomal RNA, 444 nt
Filed under: uncultured soil bacterium
Lineage: Bacteria
Description: bacterial SSU rRNA
Rfam family: Bacterial small subunit ribosomal RNA
Source: RNAcentral